Molecule: unclassified non-coding RNA, 583 nt
Filed under: Hevea brasiliensis (rubber tree)
Lineage: Eukaryota; Viridiplantae; Streptophyta; Magnoliopsida; Malpighiales; Euphorbiaceae
Source: RNAcentral
CCAUGCCAUAAUCUUGUACCUCACCGAAGUCUCCAUAUCCACCUGGAAAAUCGCUGACCCAUUAGAAAUCGCCCGCGAAACCACUGCCAAGUCAAGUCCACUGGCGUUAAAAUCACCGCCCUUCGUUGCCUUCUUCUUAUGCCCUUGAUAAAACUUUACGAUGGUGAAAUUCCCUAUAGAGUGAUUCCUGUUUGGGUUGUCAAAAAAUGUUACGUUUACUGGAUCGUAGUAGACUCCCUUGUCUUUGUUGGUGUUCUCCAGUCUGAGCUCAAAGAAAAGAGUGGUGUUUCCUGGAGGAUUUAGGGUCUUGUCAAGUGCUGGAAUGUAAAUUCGUUGGAGUAAACAUUUGGGGCUCGAGGUACGCAGGCUUAGCCACAUGAACAGAGCUGUUAGGCCUAGAGUGAAUAUGAAGCUGCAACAGCACCUGCAGCAACCACCACCGGAAUCCGGCAUGGUUUUCCGGUGGAUCCCUUAAAAGAUUCUAAUCAGAGAAAGCGAAGAAGAUCAAGCGUAUGCAGGAUUAGAAUUUAGAUUGGUUGCUGAGAACUAAGCUGUUUCCCUGCUCCGUUCCCUUUUAUAAAAG